Long non-coding RNA from Procambarus clarkii (red swamp crayfish), 1501 nucleotides. RefSeq lists it as uncharacterized. NCBI's taxonomy places the organism in Eukaryota, Metazoa, Arthropoda, Malacostraca, Decapoda, Cambaridae. The record is from RefSeq and is a predicted model, not a curated record.
UGGGCGACUGGAGUUACUUGCCGCCGUGUAAGGUCCAAGGUCUAGCUGGGGCACGUACCCGUUCAAGGGCAGAGAAAGUGAGAAAUGAAGGAGAGAAUUAAAUGGCAAGGGCCGGUCAGAAAUGAAGUGAAGGCAGGAAUCAGAGAAUGAAAAGAGACACUCAGAAUGCUGAUAGAGAGGGUAUUGACCAAGGAAGCACCAAUGGUUUAGUCGGACAUUGAUCUUGAAAGUUUUGAAAAAAAAUGGGAAUGGGGCAUAGCCUGCAAGCGAGGUAGGGAAGAAAUGGGUAUAUUUUGGGCGAAGAUGGAAUGGGACAUUUAUUCUAGUGGAGGUAGGAAGGAAGAGGAGCAUACUCUAGUAGAAGUAGGAAAGAAGAAGGCAAGUUUUCCGGGACUAGUAGAAAGGAAGAUGGCACGCUUUCCCAGCUAAGUAUGAAGGGAUCAGCCCCAAUUUAUGACGAAAGGAAGGGAUGAGGCUCAAUUGAAGGAGAUAGGAAGGUAGGCGUCAUAGUUAAAUGUGGUAGGACAGGAGGAGGCAUAAUUAAAGGUAAUAGGAAGGAAGGACACUGCACAGAGAGCGGAAGUGAUGUGGUCAACCCAGUAGGCGGGCAAGGGCCAUGUGUGGGGGCGCCAUGACACAAGUGGUCUUGGCCCAGUAGGCAAACGGCAGUAUAAAAACUCUCCUCCCUUGCUGGCCUCUGCAUCAGUCUGCGUGUGUUCUCCGCCUGUUGUACUCCUCUGGAUACACUCUCUAUAAGCCAUGAUUAAGCUGACCCUCCUGGUUGUGUUGCUGUCACUCAGCCUGACAAUGGGCGAAAAAACCGAUGAUGACUCCAAGAACGACCCUAAGAAUGCUCGAUUUUUCUUACCGAAUCUGUUCGACGUGUUCAAGCCUAAGCCGUUUCCCCCUCCAUUUGGCGGAGGCGGCUUUUUCCCAGGCUUUGGGGGAGGUUAUCCUGGUGUUUUUCCAGGAUUUGGUGGUCCAGGAUUUGGUGGUCCACCAUUCGGGGGCUAUCCUGGUGGCUAUGCAGGAGGCUAUAAUGGGGGCUAUCCUGGUUUCAUUGGUUAAAAAGCAAAGUGAUCCAGGUGUGUAAACAAGUGAUUUUUUUUUAGCGGCAGCGCAGUGGGAUGGUCCAGCUUGGAGGAAUGUUGACCGUGAAAUGCAAGUCUCGUCCAUACAAGUCAAUGCCUAAUCGUUAAUCAUCCGUCCACUUCGUGUAGCUUUAAGGUCAAUUAACACAUAGGCUAUAAAGUUUCUCAGCAUAUUAUACACACAGAUAUAUCACUAAUUUAUUUAACAUUCAUCACAUUAUAUCACUGUGUUUUCCCUUCACAUUCUCCUCUGUCAGCGUAGAUCAUCAGCUUAGUACUCACCUUCACUCCAAGCAGCCCUCUUCCCCAGCUGGGACAGUGGGUCUAGUCAAAGUAGUUUCCUGGACCAUUGUAAAUGUGUGUGAGUCUUUAAUGCUCUUUGAGUGUAAAUAUAUAUUAAAAUGAAUGUC